UACGAAGGGGGCUAGCGUUGCUCGGAAUCACUGGGCGUAAAGGGUGCGUAGGCGGCGCGGUAAGUCGGGUGUGAAAUCUCGGGGCUUAACUUCGAAACUGCAUUCGAUACUGCCGUGCUUGAGGACUGGAGAGGAGACUGGAAUUUACGGUGUAGCGGUGAAAUGCGUAGAUAUCGUAAGGAAGACCAGUGGCGAAGGCGGGUCUCUGGACAGUUCCUGACGCUGAGGCACGAAGGCCAGGGGAGCAAACGGG
This 253-nucleotide ribosomal RNA is filed under the name uncultured bacterium. RNAcentral's name for it is "partial 16S ribosomal RNA". It matches the Rfam family "Bacterial small subunit ribosomal RNA", at positions 524 to 776 of the family's 1533-position model. The record is from RNAcentral.